Molecule: long non-coding RNA, 205 nt
Filed under: Mytilus galloprovincialis (Mediterranean mussel)
Lineage: Eukaryota; Metazoa; Mollusca; Bivalvia; Mytilida; Mytilidae
Source: RNAcentral
GUUCAUAACCAUGUCGCAGUUCAAAACAUCUUGAAAUAUAUUAGAAGAGACCUCUCCUCUUCAUAUCCUUUCCUUGAAAAAAAUCGCGAAAUACACUGGGGAAAAGACAAGUUUACAUGUUUGGUGCAUCACUAUGCUUAGCUGAUAAGAUUUCUGAGCAUUUUUUUUUUGGAUGCCACGUUAUGCCCAUUGAGGAGAAGGUAUG